This 227-nucleotide non-coding RNA is filed under the name Halobacillus sp. RNAcentral describes it as "T-box sequence". It matches the Rfam family "T-box leader". Rfam says of the family: Uncharged tRNA acts as the effector for transcription antitermination of genes in the T-box leader family. T-boxes are found upstream of many aminoacyl-tRNA synthetase genes and some amino acid biosynthetic genes usually in Gram-positive bacteria. Lineage: Bacteria; Bacillati; Bacillota; Bacilli; Caryophanales; Bacillaceae. The record is from RNAcentral.
AAGAACGCGAUGAUAGGAACUAGUAGCGUAAAAUUCUUUUCUAAGAGAGUCAGUGGCCGGUGAAAACUGAUAAAAGAGUUACGUGAAUCCAUCCUUGAGUGUCCAACUGAACAUUAAGUAAGUUGGAACGGCCCUCACCGUUAUGAGAUAAGCCGGAAGAUCGGUAUGUCGAUCUUCAAUCUGGGUGGUAUCGCGGGAAGCAUAAAACUAAAGCUCUCGUCCCUUUU